GCCCCGCCGCAUGCGAUCGAGGAUCCAGCUGUGCUCCCCCCGCCAGAUGUGCAGCGGGGGGGGGCCGUUCUCAGAUCAUUAAUCGACGAAGUGCCUUCGCAGACUUUUGCCAGCAGAUGUUAAUCAAUCAUUAUUUUUUUAUACUGAAACUGAGACUUUGACUGUGCCAUGUCUAAGGUAUAUUAUUAUUAUUAUUAUUAUCGGGGAUCUUUGUAUUGAUCCUGAUUAAGUAAAUUCCAUGUGUGUCUUUUUUUUUUUUCAUUUUUUUCCCCCUUUUUCUUUUGAUUUUUCUUUGCAGUGAACUCCCUCUAUAUUUUCCCUCGGAGGUUGGGGGGGAGGGGGGAAGGGAAGAUGGCAUUUUGUGGCUCGCUUCCUUCUUGCCCAUCAUGGCACAGAUUCUGUACAUUUCUUUAAGCAAGCAAACAAAAAUUUGCGGAGAAGCAAACGAGCGCAGUUUGCUGCAUGCCUGGAAACUGCAAGAGGGAAGGGAGGGGAGGGUCUUGCUCGAAUGUCUCACUCGUGUCUCUCUCCCUCCCUCGCACGCACGCACACACACCCGCACCGCCACCCCGCCGCCCCCUACGGGACCCCCCCCNGGGGGGGGGGCACAGAGGAGAAAGCCCGGAGCAAGGUCAGGUGCAGCCCUAAAGACUGAAUUCUGUAGAGAGCGAUCGGAUCUUAUCUCUAAAUAUCUUCUGUCUUCAUGGGGUAACGGUAAUUUAUCCAGUGACCCAAAAACCUGGCUGCUUUGGAAAGUGGAUAGUAUUGGCAAUCAAAGAAAUAUGAGUGAUGUUUUGCACCUCAAGACUUCAUUCUGUAAGAUGUAUCGACGGGAUUGCCUACCUGUAACUCAGCUUUGUAAGCAGCCUCCCGAGGUUAGCCACGGUGGUAUUACAUGCCUUGUGCUUUGCCAGCCCUGCAAGCCAGCCAAAGUCUGUUAAAGCCUUCAGAGCACAAAGCACUGAUAAGAUGGAUCUCUCACAGAAGCUACUUCCAUUAAUCCUAUGUUGGCACAGAGCUCUUCGGUUAUCAUUUACAUGUAGAGAGGAGCGCAGCUCCGUAGCUGAGCACCAGCCUGGAAGGCUUUCCCUCCUCCAGAGGACUCCAAGCAAGUCAUUAGCUUCUCCACAGCUGUUCCACAUAUGUGAAAUAAAGUGGUGGCCAAGGUGAAUCGGGGGCUGGGUUUAAAGGCAAAGACAGAAGGAGCAGUGGGCUGUUUGUGCUUGGAAGUCUCUGUGAUGCUGGCAGAGGUGAAGCAGCCUCAGCUGUGGUUACUCUGGUUGCUGUUGGUGGUCCCAGCUAACAGCAGCAGCUUCUGCACAGGGCAGGAAGGGAGGAAAUUCAUCCUUUUUUUUUCCUCUAAAGUAAGUGUUCUGGAGUCUGAUUGCUUUGGUUCAGUGAUGCAUGGAUUUCCAUUUGGGGCUGGGAUGUUAAGUUGUAAGCUCAGUGAGCUUCUAAUUUGGGAUGCCUUUUAUGUUAUAAUUGAUUUUGAAUAAUUUCACUUCAUUGUUAGAACAAGCUAUACCUUAAUUCAUGCUAUGUUUGAAGAACUCAGCUGGAAAACUAUUUAUAUCAGGAUGGAUUUUGCUUCAGUGGGGUUGAACAAGAUCAGAGUGUUUCACGAAGCACUGACAUCAAAACAAUCUGGUGGUUGUGCAACUAUUAAAUGAAAGUGUA
This 1677-nucleotide long non-coding RNA is filed under the name Pavo cristatus (Indian peafowl). Its description in RNAcentral is "lncRNA (ENSPSTG00000009693.1)". Lineage: Eukaryota; Metazoa; Chordata; Aves; Galliformes; Phasianidae. The record is from RNAcentral.